Molecule: non-coding RNA, 30 nt
Filed under: Homo sapiens (human)
Lineage: Eukaryota; Metazoa; Chordata; Mammalia; Primates; Hominidae
Source: RNAcentral
GCACUUGAGUUCAGGAGUUCAAGACCAGCC